ACCUGAGGAGGAGGAGGAGGAGGAGGAGCAGUUUAUUAGGAGUAGCCGGGGUCAUCAGAGUUUUUGGACAAAAACAGUAAUAACUUUAUUUAAACAGUUUACAGAGACACGAGCCAAACAAAAACCAUAGAAGAAGAAACAUCAGCGAAAUAAGAGAACUACAAAAUAUAAAAACUACAAAGUGACAUCAGUCCUGAGCCUCUUCAAGUACAUCAAGUACAUCUGCAGGAACAUCUGCAGCUUCUCGGUUGCUUGGAGCUCUUAUUUGAACCUUCAGAUGUGGCUCUGUUCCUCUGAUCUUCGUACCUCAGCCUUUCCUCCUCGUUCCCUUCAUUAAGAACGGCUUCCUGAUGGGCUAAAGGUCCAAAUCAUCUCCCGGGUCCUGUGUCGGGUCUUCAGAACCCGUUCCUCUGCUGUGGAGAUUUUAGGCCUCACACUUCUUCUUCUGUCCAGCUUCCUAAGAAGUCGAAGCGCACCACGCUGAGAUAAGCAGAGCUUUCAGCUGACAGCUCUCUGGGAGUCGCACUUUCUCCCUUAUCUUUCCUGCUUGGCUUUCAUGUCCUUUGUAUAGUCUCGCUUAUUCUCUAACCCUAAGAGAGUCUCCCAGACUUGUUCUCUAAAAACCUAAAGAAGAAAUAUGGAUUUGAUCAACUGGUCCCUUAAUGGAAUUGAUACCCUUGGGAGAGCCCGAUUGUCCUGCGGAGACGUUUGCUGCCGGAUACUCGAUGGUCGGUUGCGUCGUGUGUCUGACGACGCUCGAUGGAGGACAAUGAACGACAUCUACCAAUUCAGAACCACGAUAACAGAGUUCUGGCUGAUUGGAGCUGGUUCAGCUUAUUGAAGAACAAGAAGCGGCUACAGCUGUUCAAAAUCCCACCAGGCUGGCCGACAUGACAGACGAUGGGCAGGGCUGCGAGUAAGACUGUGUUUAUUGAACGCAAUAUGGAUACGAUCUUGGAGAAGAACGGGAAUUGAGAGACCUGGUGACCAGUGACGGACAUUAGACCAACUGUAAAAUUGGAAGCAGUUUGUUUGCCCCAAAACAGCUGCCAUCUCCAUCAUGAAGAUGCUCAGGGCACAAGCUGACGGGAAUAACAAAACUCUCCUUUAGAUAAUAAGACUGUUUGUUGUGACUCUCUCCCUCCUCAUUCAAGGCCGCCCGUGUCGACCGAAGAUUGUUGACUUUUGCUUAACCUUUCUCUCGGCUGAACACACGCAUGCACACGCACACACACACACACAUGUGCAUGUACACUGACACAGAGCUUCAUGGAUUCAUUAAAGAAACGGGAACGCUGACGUGUUUCUGUGACGGGAAACAACGGGUCAGAGGGGACGUGAGACGCUGCAUGUAGAGGUAACUCUGUAUGUGAAGUUGGGGUUUUGAAAACAUGUUUAGCACAAUCUUGUGUCGGUACAACUGUUUGCUUGUGUUGGGAACAUUUUGCUUUUUGCAUAAAGUUGGCUGAUGGCAGCACGUGAACAUCUGCUUUGCAGGCUCGAUGAGGAACAGCUGCAGACUCCAGCAUGUCGGUCUGACACAGUCCUCGUUUAUAAAGUAUAACAUAAACUAAUGUGAGCCUGUGAGCCCGGCCAACCAACCGCGUGACGUCACACUCCGUGCUGACAGAAGAUGGCGCUGAACAUGUUUUUAACACUUGAAGCACUGAUUUCUUAAAGCCAGCGUCACAGACAGAGUGACAGCUGUGGGAGUGUCUGAGAGCAGGUCCGUGGGGUAAAGGAGGUGUGCACCACUGAGGGCUGACGGAGGCCACUCAGUGACUUCUUCAUGACCUCUGUGGUUGCGUGCUGUACUUCUGGAUUACCAAAACGCAAGUUUAGAAGGAAAGUGACACACCUGCUUAGCCCCACCCCGUCAGUGAGGUCACAGUUUCAGGUGAGGUCCUCAGGUGUGCUGAUGGUGCUGAUGUUGGGUUUUUUUUUUUCAGAAGCGGCUCUGUUUGGAGGCGGAGCUCCAGAUGUCCGACUGUCCAAUGGAGACGUCGCAGAGCAGUCCUGCGACCAAUCAGCAGCCGGAUCAACAGGUACGGCCCACACCUGUUCUGCUCUGCUGUCCGAGGUGUCUCAGAGGAGAACCGGGUCACUUCAACCACAUCAUGGGCCUCUGAAGCUCCACCCAUUCUCCUGCAACCAGCCGUCCAAUCACAUUGAUGCUUCAGGUGCUUCACUAAAAUGGUGCUGCUGGAAGAUGUCAUCAAGGCCCCACCCCACCUUCACAUCGUUGUCAAGGAGACGGUUUAACGUUUCCAUCCAGUGAUGCAUUCAGGACCAGCAGUACUCCUCAGACUUAAGUUCUGAAAUCUCUGAUGUCCUUGUAUCCCUGAACACACCACUGAGUGUGAGCGUUUACCUGAGCUUUAAGCCCACCCCCUCUCCUGUGUGAUAUGUGCAACAGUCCAAUCAAUGAUCAAUAACUGUGAUUGACGUGGUGGUGCGUUCACUGUCUCCGUUUAAAGGGCUUUCACACGGUGAAGACUUGUGAUGUGUUUACAGGAAAAAUGCCAGUAGAAUAUUUUUUAACUCCAGUAUAGAACCGACUGAAAGGCUUAACGAGGUGUUAAUGAGAGUUUACUAUAAGGGGAAGGAAAAUCCAUGUGGUUUUUCAAAAUAAGAGUCUUCGUGUCUGUACAUUUCUAUUUUUCUGAGGCAGAUUUGUAUAUUUUUUACUCUGAAUUUGACUGAAUGUAAAAGCAGCUCCCUAUUUUUGAUGACAUCACUUCCGCUAUCUGAGGCCAGCAUUUGUACUGAUUUCAGAAUAAAAGCUUUGACUGUGAA
Long non-coding RNA from Astatotilapia calliptera (eastern happy), 2796 nucleotides. Lineage: Eukaryota; Metazoa; Chordata; Actinopteri; Cichliformes; Cichlidae. The record is from Ensembl.